GUCUGCGAUGCUGCGAGAAGUCCAAUGAACCUUAUCAUUUAGAGGAAGGAGAAGUCGUAACAAGGUUUCCGUAGGUGAACCUGCGGAAGGAUCAUUG
This 97-nucleotide ribosomal RNA is filed under the name Herminium pusillum. RNAcentral's name for it is "partial 18S ribosomal RNA". It matches the Rfam family "Eukaryotic small subunit ribosomal RNA", at positions 1735 to 1831 of the family's 1831-position model. The record is from RNAcentral. Lineage: Eukaryota; Viridiplantae; Streptophyta; Magnoliopsida; Asparagales; Orchidaceae.